GCAUUUUAUGAGACAGAUCGAAACAGCUGUUUUUCUCGUGUUUAUCUACUUUGACAAUCAGUGGGAGCCCGUUUGUUUGGUAAUUUCGUGCUGAACAUUCCGAUGGGUCCCAUAAUAAAUUCUGCCUGUUUUACUUUUCGUAUACCAGGGUUUUAGAUCAAAGUUUUUCAUAUGAUUCUUAAAACGUGUCGUUAGAUUAUUCAUACCAUUGCAUUAUAAGCAUGAAAUGCUGAAGAAAACACGAAUGAAAAUUAAAACUUUACAAACAUUAUUUUGUGUUCAGACCUAACGGAAUGUUCACGCAGAAUUAUACCAAAACAAAACAUUAGAAGUAAAUAAUCGGGCCACCGCUAAACGUCUCAUAAAAUGCCUUAUUGUGUCUUGCACUGUAAACUCGACAAUACUCUUUAAAGAGUAAAAAUCACCCCUUUUUUGACGAUAUAUGGAACUGUCAAAAUAAUGGGUGAUUAUUUAUUUUACAUAAUGAAUAUUUUAUGCCCAUUUUCAAGAUCCACGCUGAUACUCUUUAAUAAGUGAAAAACAAAAUAUACUUCCACACGCACAGUUCCCCGUCGUGAAUGGUAAGGCUGAUUCAGGAGCUGGAGGAGCCUUCAUUUAAAUGAACAGAAUACCAUCAGAAGCCUCGGACUGCCGCGAAUAAUUGAUGCAGUUCAUCACGAAGGGAUGCGAGAUUAUGCUGCUACACUUCAGCCAUUUGAGCUCAUCCGACAUCACAGAGAAGUCGGACUUUGCGAAGGCCUCAAAACAUUCCAGCGGGGAUAUCGUAUGUAUUUACGAAGAAUCUAUUCGAUAAGUGUUCCUGUUCUCGUUCCUGCCCCUGUUCCUGACGAUCGGGAACACACAGCCAGAGAUGGUUGGCUUUAUGCCAAGGAAGUCGUCGAUUCCGGGAACGGUUUCAGGAGCAGCUGCUGCGUCUAUUGUGUCCCUGCUUUGUCCACUUGUUUCCCGUCAUCCGUUCGGCGGGUUGCUUAAUACCAUGGCAUGUGAUCCGGUAAAGCAGAAAGGCGAGAAAAACACAAGUUGCAGUUAUUUCCCUUCAUAUAAUCAGCAAAAAUAACAUGAUGUGUAUCUAUUAUUGUAUGUUAAUUAAAUAAAGA
This is a long non-coding RNA of Armigeres subalbatus, 1118 nucleotides long. RefSeq lists it as uncharacterized. NCBI's taxonomy places the organism in Eukaryota, Metazoa, Arthropoda, Insecta, Diptera, Culicidae. The record is from RefSeq and is a predicted model, not a curated record. The transcript is spliced from 3 exons.